RNAcentral lists this ribosomal RNA (424 nucleotides) under uncultured bacterium. RNAcentral's name for it is "bacterial SSU rRNA". It matches the Rfam family "Bacterial small subunit ribosomal RNA", at positions 361 to 776 of the family's 1533-position model. The record is from RNAcentral.
AUCUUCCGCAAUGGACGAAAGUCUGACGGAGCGACGCCGCGUGAGCGAAGAAGGUCUUCGGAUCGUAAAGCUCUGUUGUUAGGGAAGAAGAAGCGCCGUUCGAACAGGGCGGCGCGGUGACGGUACCUAACGAGAAAGCCCCGGCUAACUACGUGCCAGCAGCCGCGGUAAUACGUAGGGGGCGAGCGUUGUCCGGAAUUAUUGGGCGUAAAGCGCGCGCAGGCGGUCCCUUAAGUCUGAUGUGAAAGCCCACGGCUUAACCGUGGAGGGUCAUUGGAAACUGGGGGACUUGAGUGCAGAAGAGGAGAGCGGAAUUCCACGUGUAGCGGUGAAAUGCGUAGAGAUGUGGAGGAACACCAGUGGCGAAGGCGGCUCUCUGGUCUGUAACUGACGCUGAGGCGCGAAAGCGUGGGGAGCAAACAGG